This 446-nucleotide ribosomal RNA is filed under the name uncultured bacterium. Its description in RNAcentral is "partial 16S ribosomal RNA". It matches the Rfam family "Bacterial small subunit ribosomal RNA", at positions 338 to 795 of the family's 1533-position model. The record is from RNAcentral.
CCUACGGGAGGCAGCAGUCGAGAAUCAUUCACAAUGGGGGAAACCCUGAUGGUGCGACGCCGCGUGGGGGAAUGAAGGUCUUCGGAUUGUAAACCCCUGUCAUGUGGGAACAAAUUAAAAAGAUAGUACCACAAGAGGAAGAGACGGCUAACUCUGUGCCAGCAGCCGCGGUAAUACAGAGGUCUCAAGCGUUGUUCGGAACCACUGGGCGUAAAGCGUGCGUAGGCUGUUUCGUAAGUCGGGGGUGAAAGGCGCGGGCUCAACCCGCGGACGGCACUUGAUACUGCGAGACUAGAGGAAGUGAGGGGGAACCGGAAUUCUCGGUGUAGCAGUGAAAUGCGUAGAUAUCGAGAGGAACACUCGUGGCGAAGGCGGGUUCCUGGACAUUAACUGACGCUGAGGCACGAAGGCCAGGGGAGCGAAAGGGAUUAGAUACCCGAGUAGUC